GUAGGGAAUCUUCCACAAUGGGCGCAAGCCUGAUGGAGCAACACCGCGUGAGUGAAGAAGGGUUUCGGCUCGUAAAGCUCUGUUGUUAAAGAAGAACACGUAUGAGAGUAACUGUUCAUACGUUGACGGUAUUUAACCAGAAAGUCACGGCUAACUACGUGCUAG
Molecule: ribosomal RNA, 165 nt
Filed under: uncultured bacterium
Lineage: Bacteria
Description: partial 16S rRNA
Rfam family: Bacterial small subunit ribosomal RNA
Source: RNAcentral